GACGAACCGUGCGAACGUUGUUCGGAAUCACUGGGCUUAAAGGGCGCGUAGGCGGGUCGGAAAGUCCGGGGUGAAAUCCCCCCGCUCAACGGGGGAACGGCCUCGGAGACUGUCGGCCUGGAGGGGGGUAGGGGCGAGCGGAACGCUGGGUGGAGCGGUGAAAUGCGUUGAUAUCCAGCGGAACUCCGGUGGCGAAGGCGGCUCGCUGGACCCUUUCUGACGCUGAGGCGCGAAAGCCAGGGGAGCGAACGGG
RNAcentral lists this ribosomal RNA (253 nucleotides) under uncultured bacterium. RNAcentral describes it as "partial 16S ribosomal RNA". It matches the Rfam family "Bacterial small subunit ribosomal RNA", at positions 524 to 776 of the family's 1533-position model. The record is from RNAcentral.